This 431-nucleotide ribosomal RNA is filed under the name uncultured bacterium. Its description in RNAcentral is "bacterial SSU rRNA". It matches the Rfam family "Bacterial small subunit ribosomal RNA", at positions 335 to 755 of the family's 1533-position model. The record is from RNAcentral.
ACUCCUACGGGAGGCAGCAGUGGGGAAUAUUGCACAAUGGGCGCAAGCCUGAUGCAGCCAUGCCGCGUGUGUGAAGAAGGCCUUCGGGUUGUAAAGCACUUUCAGUUGUGAGGAAGGUGGUGUCGUUAAUAGCGGCAUCAUUUGACGUUAGCAACAGAAGAAGCACCGGCUAACUCCGUGCCAGCAGCCGCGGUAAUACGGAGGGUGCGAGCGUUAAUCGGAAUUACUGGGCGUAAAAGCGCAUGCAGGUGGUUUGUUAAGUCAGAUGUGAAAGCCCGGGGCUCAACCUCGGAACUGCAUUUGAAACUGGCAGACUAGAGUACUGUAGAGGGGGGUAGAAUUUCAGGUGUAGCGGUGAAAAUGCGUAGAGAUCUGAAGGAAUACCGGUGGCGAAAGGCGGCCCCCUGGACAGAUACUGACACUCAGAUGCG